GAUUGUGGAGCGCGGCCUGCGCUCGAGGAGCUCUCACUAUGUCGAUCGAAAUCGAGUCCUCGGAUGUGAUUCGUCUUAUCAUGCAGUACCUGAAGGAGAACAGUUUGCAUCAGGCAUUAGCCACCUUACAGGAGGAGACUACUGUGUCUCUGAAUACCGUGGACAGUAUUGAGAGUUUUGUGGCUGACAUUAAUAGUGGCCAUUGGGAUACUGUUUUAUAGGCUAUACAGUCUCUGAAAUUGCCAGACAAAACCCUCAUUGACCUCUAUGAACAGGUUGUUCUGGAAUUGAUUGAGCUCCGAGAGUUGGGUGCUGCCAGGUCACUUCUCAGACAAACUGACCCUUUGAUCAUGUUAAAGCAAACCCAACCCGAGCGGUAUAUUCAUCUGGAAAACCUCUUGGCCAGGUCUUAUUUUGAUCCUCGUGAGGCUUAUCCAGAUGGAAGUAGCAAAGAGAAGAGAAGAGCAGCAAUUGCCCAAGCCUUAGCUGGGGAAGUCAGCGUGGUGCCUCCAUCUCGUCUCAUGGCAUUGCUGGGACAGGCACUGAAGUGGCAGCAGCACCAGGGGUUGCUUCCUCCUGGUAUGACUAUAGAUUUGUUUCGAGGCAAAGCAGCUGUCAAGGAUGUGGAAGAGGAAAAGUUUCCUACACAGCUGAGCAGACAUAUUAAGUUUGGUCAGAAAUCACAUGUGGAGUGUGCUUGAUUUUCUCCAGAUGGUCAGUAUCUGGUCACUGGAUCUGUUGAUGGAUUCAUUGAAGUGUGGAACUUUACAACUGGAAAAAUCAGGAAGGACCUUAAGUACCAGGCCCAGGAUAACUUCAUGAUGAUGGAUGAUGCUGUCCUCUGCAUGUGUUUUAGCAGAGAUACAGAAAUGUUAGCAACUGGGGCUCAAGAUGGCAAAAUCAAGGUAUGGAAGAUUCAGAGUGGACAGUGUUUAAGGGGAUUUGAGAGGGCACAUAGUAAAGGUGUUACCUGACUAAGCUUUUCUAAGGAUAGCAGUCAGAUCCUUAGUGCUUCUUGUGACCAGACAAUUAGAAUUCAUGGUUUAAAAUCUGGAAAAACCCUGAAGGAAUUUCGUGGCCAUUCAUCCUUUGUUAAUGAAGCAACAUUUACACAAGAUGGACAUUAUAUUAUUAGUGCAUGCUCUGAUGGCACUGUGAAGAUCUGGAAUAUGAAGACCACAGAAUGUUCAAAUACCUUUAAAUCCCUGAGCAGCACCGCUGGAACAGACAUUACGGUCAACAGUGUGAUCCUGCUUCCUAAAAACCCAGAGCACUUUGUGGUGUGUAACAGAUCAAACACAGUUGUCAUCAUGAACAUGCAAGGCCAGAUUGUCAGAAGCUUCAGCUCUGGUAAAAGAGGAGGUGGAGACUUUGUUUGCUGUGCCCUCUCUCCUCGUGGUGAAUGGAUCUACUAUGUGGGAGAAGACUUUGUGCUCUACUGUUUCAGCACCGUCACUGGCAAGCUGGAGAGAACUUUGACAGUUCAUGAGAAGGAAGUGAUUGGUACUGCACAUCACCCUCAUCAGAAUCUGAUUGCUACGUACAGUGAAGAGGGACUCCUAAAGCUCUGGAAACCCUAAUUCAACUUUUCUUUUUAAACUAGCUUGAAAGCAUAUACUUAAAUGAAGACAUAUUCAUGUGAUGCCUUUUUUUUUUCUUUAUUUUUCUUUAGGCCAGCUUUUCUAAGCAAAUUGUCUGAAUUAGUCACA
Nycticebus coucang (slow loris) is the source of this 1709-nucleotide RNA transcript. It is a transcript of the gene named WD40 repeat-containing protein SMU1-like, with no coding region annotated. The transcript has a single exon. The record is from RefSeq and is a predicted model, not a curated record. NCBI's taxonomy places the organism in Eukaryota, Metazoa, Chordata, Mammalia, Primates, Lorisidae.